Molecule: long non-coding RNA, 591 nt
Organism: Leguminivora glycinivorella
Lineage: Eukaryota; Metazoa; Arthropoda; Insecta; Lepidoptera; Tortricidae
Exons: 4
Source: RefSeq, a predicted model, not a curated record
ACACGCAUUAUUUGGAACUGAAAAUUACGUAAUUUAUCGACCUGCUGACUUGUAUUUGUUAUAAAUCAUAAAAAAAUUAUGGAAAACAUCAUGAACAAUAAUGAAACAAACCGAACCUUUAGCUACAAUAAUAAAAUGACCCCAUGACGCCAGUGGAACUACGUGGUUUUCUUCCAUGAUGAUUUGAUGAUACCACAAUGGAUUUGAGCCAAGUUUUCACCGUAUUGGGUGCUAGAUGCCCCUUGGAGUUAAGCCCCAGUGCCACUAUACUACCUUACCAGUUAUGUGUGGGUGUUGUAGUCCUAAGACACCCCAGAGAUGCAUAGGGCCUUCACAAGCUCACGCCACGCCUUCCUAUCUUCAGUAACCCUCGUGACCUCGCUCCACCAGCUCAAACCUGCCAGUCGCAGCUCAUUUUUCGACGGACCGCUUCCAUGAGUAGACAAGGCACCGACGAUCACGGCUUGCAUCACCUGUACUGCUUCGUAAUAUAGCAUGCUGAACAAUACUGCCAUUAUACUAGGAUCAACGUCCUGCCCCUUCCCCGGCUGUGUACAAAUUGGAACUCCAUUUGCAUGCCCCUUUGACUGA